This 71-nucleotide transfer RNA is filed under the name Ovis aries (sheep). It matches the Rfam family "tRNA". From Rfam's summary of the family: Transfer RNA (tRNA) molecules are approximately 80 nucleotides in length. Their secondary structure includes four short double-helical elements and three loops (D, anti-codon, and T loops). Lineage: Eukaryota; Metazoa; Chordata; Mammalia; Artiodactyla; Bovidae. The record is from Rfam by way of RNAcentral.
UCCUUGGUGGCUCAGUGGUAAAGAAUCUGCCUUUAGUGCAGGAGCCCCAGGUUUGAUCCCUGGGUCAGGAA